Myripristis murdjan (pinecone soldierfish) is the source of this 1352-nucleotide RNA transcript. It is a transcript of the gene named rho guanine nucleotide exchange factor 19, with no coding region annotated. NCBI's taxonomy places the organism in Eukaryota, Metazoa, Chordata, Actinopteri, Holocentriformes, Holocentridae. The transcript has 7 exons. The record is from RefSeq and is a predicted model, not a curated record.
GCUGGACUCCACCCAGUUUAAUUUGGGUAGAGGAUGUUUCAGCAGGUUGGGGGAAAACACUGAUUACCAAAAUGAACUGACCCUUUCUAAUAGUGUUGUGUGACAGUGUAAUCCCCAUGACAAAUUAAACCAUGUUGGCUCAGUCUGACUGCAGAGGAGACGAGGACGGCCGCUGUCUGAGCAGUAACACUAUCACCCAAAUGUAUUCCUGCUUUGGAAAUGGCCUUCCUGUGAAAAGUCUGAAAUCUCAAAUAUCAGCCAUCAAGAGUUCAGAGCGAGCUCCUUCAGGCACUGAGCCUCAGGAAACCAACAUUGCACGGAGAAGUGUAGGCUUUGAUGAUGAAAGUGAUGAAACUGCGAACCAAGAUGAGGUUUUCAGCUCUCCUAUAGACAUAUCUUCAGCCCUUAGGUCUGUGGCCUUGAUGCGCACAUGGGAUUUGGGAAGAACGCAUUUCCCUGUGCAAAAGCUGUUCUCAGUUCCUGGACACGGUGACAAGGAUAACAGAUUGUCUUCACCAAUAGCUGAUAAAUGUGAAAAUGAAGAAGGGGCAGAGGAUCCAGUUGAGGCUGAAGCACUUGGUGUGUCAUUCCAGUCAAAGUACUUUAAUAUUUUCCCACUGUAUCAGGACUACUGUCUAACAGUGAAAGCUGACCUGCACAGGGUCACCAAAGGCUUUCUGUCUGAUCUGCUGACCUCCCAGUGCCUCCCGGGUCUACAGUCCCCUCUGACCCCUCGCAGCCUUUUCGAGGUCACCUGCCCUCCAUCACCUCCGCCUGUGGUGAUCCCAUCCUCAACUCCACCUCACUUUCUUGGGUCAUCCCGAUGUACCUUUUGGCAAGAUCUGGAUGAGGUGAAGGCUUCUGGCCUGCUUAACAAGUUGACCACCAGAGAGAUUCGCCUUCAGGAGGCCACGUUUGAGUUGAUUGGCUCGGAGGCUUCCUACUUGAGGAGCCUUGGGGUUGCUGUCAAUCACUUCUAUGCGUCAAAGACACUGAAACAAACCCUGUCUCAGAUGGAGCAUCACAUUUUGUUUUCCAAUCUUCGUCACGUGAUGGCAGCCAGUGAGAGGUUUCUCAUGGACCUUGAAGUUCGCCUGGGCGAGAGCGUGCUGAUAUCUUAGGUUGGGGACAUUGUGCUCCGGCACUGCCCAGCGUUCAGAGCCCUCUAUGUGCCAUAUGUGACCAACAUGAUGUACCAAGAGGCCCUUGUCAACCAAAUGCUACAGCAGAACAGGGGAUUUUCGUUUGCACUCAAGAAACUCGAGAGCGACCCAGUGUGUCAGCGGCAGAGCCUCAAGUCAUUCCUGGUCCUUCCGUUUCAGAGACUCACUCGUCUUAAACUCAUAACAGAG